RNAcentral lists this ribosomal RNA (395 nucleotides) under uncultured bacterium. Its description in RNAcentral is "partial 16S ribosomal RNA". It matches the Rfam family "Bacterial small subunit ribosomal RNA", at positions 523 to 918 of the family's 1533-position model. The record is from RNAcentral.
AUACGUAGGUGGCAAGCGUUGUCCGGAUUUAUUGGGCGUAAAGCGAGCGCAGGCGGUUCUUUAAGUCUGAUGUGAAAGCCCCCGGCUCAACCGGGGAGGGUCAUUGGAAACUGGAGGACUUGAGUGCAGAAGAGGAGAGUGGAAUUCCAUGUGUAGCGGUGAAAUGCGUAGAUAUAUGGAGGAACACCAGUGGCGAAGGCGGCUCUCUGGUCUGUAACUGACGCUGAGGCGCGAAAGCGUGGGUAGCAAACAGGAUUAGAUACCCUGGUAGUCCACGCCGUAAACGAUGAGUGCUAUGUGUUGGAGGGUACCACCUUCAGUGCAGCAGUUAACGCAUUAAGCACUCCGCCUGGGGAGUACGGUCGCAAGGCUGAAACUCAAAUGAAUUGACGGGG